CAAUAGCGUAUAUUAAAGUUGUUGCGGUAAAAAAGCUCGUAGUUGGAUUUCUACCGAAGAUAGCCGGUCGGGUCUUCGACCUUGUAUCUGGUUUUGUCUUUGGUAUCCUCAUAGGGAACGUUUCUGCGCUUUAUUGCGUGGUGCGGUAUCUAUGACUUUUACUUUGAGGAAAUUAGAGUGUUCACGGCAGGCAAACGCCUUGAAUAUAUUAGCAUGGAAUAAUAACAUAGGAUCUUCGUCCUAUUUUGUUGGUUUCUAGGGCUAAGAUAAUGAUUAAUAGGGAUAAUUGGGGGCAUCUGUAUCAACGCGUCAGAGGUGGAAUUCUUGGAUUGCGUUGCGACAAACUACUGCGAAAGCAUUUGCCAAGGAUGUUUUCAUUGAA
RNAcentral lists this ribosomal RNA (382 nucleotides) under uncultured eukaryote. Its description in RNAcentral is "partial 18S ribosomal RNA". It matches the Rfam family "Eukaryotic small subunit ribosomal RNA", at positions 592 to 977 of the family's 1831-position model. The record is from RNAcentral.